CUAUACGGCGAAACUGCGAAUGGCUCAUUAUAUAAGUUAUCGUUCAUUUGAUAGCACCUUACUACUUGGACAACCGUGGUAAUUCUAGAGCUAAUACAUGCUGAAAACCCCGACGUCAGGAGGGGUGUAUUUAUUAGAUUAAAAGCCAAUGCCCCCCGGGCUCUCUGGUGAUUCAUGAUAACUUCGCGGAUCGCACGGCCUUGCGCCGGCGAUGGUUCAUACAAAUUUCUUCCCUAUCAACUUUCGAUGUUUGGGUCUUGGCCAAACAUGGUUGCAACGGGUAACGGAGGGUUAGGGCUCGACCCCGGAGAAGGAGCCUGAGAAACGGCUACUACAUCCAAGGAAGGCAGCAGGCGCGCAAAUUACCCAAUCCCGACCCGGGGAGGUAGUGACAAUAAAUACUGAUACAGGGCUCUUUUGGGUCUUGUAAUUGGAAUGAGUACAUCCUAAACCCCUUAACGAGGAACAAUUGGAGGGCAAGUCUGGUGCCAGCAGCCGCGGUAAUUCCAGCUCCAAUAGCGUAUAUUAAAGUUGUUGUGGUUAAAAA
RNAcentral lists this ribosomal RNA (547 nucleotides) under Paraisaria amazonica. Its description in RNAcentral is "SSU rRNA". It matches the Rfam family "Eukaryotic small subunit ribosomal RNA", at positions 74 to 625 of the family's 1831-position model. Lineage: Eukaryota; Fungi; Ascomycota; Sordariomycetes; Hypocreales; Ophiocordycipitaceae. The record is from RNAcentral.